GGUCAUGAGUGCCAGCGUCUCAGCCCCGGCUCGCUGGCCGGCAACCCUCCUCCGCGGUGGGGUGCCCCGGGUGACGACCUGGUCGCGCACCGCUCGGUGCCGGCAAGCGCGGGCC
This 115-nucleotide non-coding RNA is filed under the name Cellulomonas flavigena. RNAcentral's name for it is "SAM-IV sequence". It matches the Rfam family "SAM (S-adenosyl methionine) riboswitch aptamer". From Rfam's summary of the family: SAM-IV is a mRNA element that regulates gene expression via direct sensing of S-adenosylmethionine (SAM or AdoMet). RNAcentral also lists the same sequence under 1 other name. Lineage: Bacteria; Bacillati; Actinomycetota; Actinomycetes; Micrococcales; Cellulomonadaceae. The record is from RNAcentral.